This 593-nucleotide small RNA is filed under the name Pongo abelii (Sumatran orangutan). RNAcentral describes it as "processed transcript". The record is from RNAcentral. Lineage: Eukaryota; Metazoa; Chordata; Mammalia; Primates; Hominidae.
GUAUCCCUGGUAUUCUGAAUUUCAGAAUGUUGGUCUCUUCAUUCAUUUUGCUAGGCACUCAGUGGACCCUUUCCAUCUGGCAGUUCAUGUUCUUCAGUACUGGGAAGAUCAGUUAUUUCUUUGAUUUCCUCUUUCUGUAUUCUCUGUUCUCCUUUUCUGGAACAUAUAUUUGUGAUUUGUGUUUGUAAUUUUCUAUUUCUUUCUGCCCAUUUUCCCAUUUUCAAAAUUUUUGUUGUGUCUUCUGUAUCUUCAAAUUUAUCUUAUAACUUUUAUUUUUUGUUUAUACUAUAUAUUUUUAAUUUCUUCUUUCAUAAACGUAAUAUUUCCUGUCUCCUAAGCCAGUUAGUUACCACAUAUAGGCUCUAGACAACUAAUGACAGUACAAAAUAGGCUCUGAUUAGAUGUUGAAAUGUUUGGUACUGAUACUAAGUGCUAGGGGAUAAAAGGGUCUACAAAAACCACUAUCUGCCAGAAAAACUUGGAACAAUUUCAUGGAAGGGGUAAGAUAGGAUCUGGACUUGGAAUAUAGGUAGAUGCUAAAGAAAACCCUUAUGGCGAGGAUGACAAUAAGAGCCCAUUCCCCCUGCAGCCCA